This 86-nucleotide transfer RNA is filed under the name Hungatella hathewayi. RNAcentral describes it as "tRNA-Ser". It matches the Rfam family "tRNA". Rfam says of the family: Transfer RNA (tRNA) molecules are approximately 80 nucleotides in length. Their secondary structure includes four short double-helical elements and three loops (D, anti-codon, and T loops). Further hydrogen bonds mediate the characteristic L-shaped molecular structure. tRNAs have two regions of fundamental functional importance: the anti-codon, which is responsible for specific mRNA codon recognition, and the 3' end, to which the tRNAs corresponding amino acid is attached (by aminoacyl-tRNA synthetases). tRNAs cope with the degeneracy of the genetic code in two manners: having more than one tRNA (with a specific anti-codon) for a particular amino acid; and 'wobble' base-pairing, i.e. permitting non-standard base-pairing at the 3rd anti-codon position. Lineage: Bacteria; Bacillati; Bacillota; Clostridia; Lachnospirales; Lachnospiraceae. The record is from RNAcentral.
GCCAGGAUACCCAAAUGGUUAUAAGGGCGUCGCUUCGAAAGCGUCUGUGCCGAUCAGGCUUAUGGGUUCGAAUCCCAUUCCUGGCG